UGGCUUACCUCCUCAGAUGUUUGCCUAGGCUUGUAUAGCCUAAGCAGAUUGUGGGUUUCCUGUGUUGCCUACCUACGUCACGGAAUUGUCCCGAUCGAUCAAAGUUGCUUUCGUCUUGUGUCGUCUUGAUGGCAUAAGAUGAACCAUGAAGCUGUCUCUUUGCACCGCAUGUUAAUGCAUGCGUUGAUGUUGUGGCCCAUUGAGCAUUGCUUGGUACCUUGGAUACGGAACCUUAUGUGGGCAUGGGUCCUUGGGGAUCCUUGUUCUGCCCUCGUUUAGCGUUCGCGCUUCUCUUAGAAUGACUGCCUAGCCGGAAUGGCAACCCAUUGUGGAUGGGCAUUGUCAAAGAGGAAUGCUACCUGGUUGAUCCUGCCAGUAGUCAUAUGCUUGUCUCAAAGAUUAA
Molecule: unclassified non-coding RNA, 403 nt
Filed under: Helianthus tuberosus
Lineage: Eukaryota; Viridiplantae; Streptophyta; Magnoliopsida; Asterales; Asteraceae
Description: partial contains external transcribed spacer and 18S ribosomal RNA
Rfam family: Eukaryotic small subunit ribosomal RNA (bases 357-403)
Source: RNAcentral